RNAcentral lists this ribosomal RNA (237 nucleotides) under uncultured bacterium. RNAcentral describes it as "partial 16S ribosomal RNA". It matches the Rfam family "Bacterial small subunit ribosomal RNA", at positions 99 to 334 of the family's 1533-position model. The record is from RNAcentral.
CGAACGGGUGAGUAACGCGUGAGGAACCUGCCUCAAAGAGGGGGACAACAGUUGGAAACGACUGCUAAUACCGCAUAAGCCCACGGCUCGGCAUCGAGCAGAGGGAAAAGGAGCAAUCCGCUUUGAGAUGGCCUCGCGUCCGAUUAGCUAGUUGGUGAGGUAAUGGCCCACCAAGGCGACGAUCGGUAGCCGGACUGAGAGGUUGAACGGCCACAUUGGGACUGAGACACGGUCCAG